This 206-nucleotide long non-coding RNA is filed under the name Prunus persica (peach). RNAcentral's name for it is "long non-coding RNA (PPER_LNC001075)". The record is from RNAcentral. Lineage: Eukaryota; Viridiplantae; Streptophyta; Magnoliopsida; Rosales; Rosaceae.
AUAUAAUGGGCAUUCGAGACCAAGUGGUAUAAGCAUGGUAUGGGACGUGCAGGUCUGCUUGUCCAGUUAUAUGAAUUAACGGGAUUAGAUGAAGAGCAUUCAUGCAUUAACACUAUUAAUGUGAUAUUUGGUUGUGCGAUUGCAUGUCACUUAAUUUAGUUUUAUCAAUCUACUAAGGUAAGGUCUCAUUCCCUACUGAGUGGUGG